This 40083-nucleotide long non-coding RNA is filed under the name Phaseolus vulgaris (common bean). RNAcentral describes it as "long non-coding RNA (PVUL_LNC001351)". The record is from RNAcentral. Lineage: Eukaryota; Viridiplantae; Streptophyta; Magnoliopsida; Fabales; Fabaceae.
GAAUUGGGAACAAAGAAUGCGGCGACGGGUGUGAGGCUGUAGAGCCGGUGAAAGGUGGGAGGAACGCGGUGGUCGGAAAUGAGGGAAGAGUGAAGAAUGGAGUAAGAAGAAAGAAGUGCGAGGAGACGAUCUAGCAUUGAGGCUGCUUCUGGGUUACUGCAACUAAUCUUUGAUGCUAUUUCCUUAGCAGACAGCUUAGCACCUUCUCCCGCUUCUUUCAGCACCUCAAACACUCCCAGCUCCGUCGCCGAUUGCACUGCCAUCGGAAGGGCCACCGAACCUACAAUCUCCAUGGCAUGCGAGAAGCUUUGUGCAUCUUGUAUCUCUUCUUCCUUCCUCUUUUCUUCACCAUUCAGGCUUGCCAUCUCCACUUCAACACCUGCAGACAAGAAAGAGAAGAAGUGAAGGGGAAGAAUAAAGAAGAGGCCUAUAUAAAGGAGAAAAAAAAAACUUAUCCUUAACAGUGAUGAAUAUGUAAAAUAAGACGCUACGUAAAACCCUACUUUUUCACCAUUAAACCAUGCAAUGAAAAUGCUUUAUCAUACACACGUCUCAACCCCUACCUUCUUAACCUUCCUCUUUUGACUUCUUUUUGUAAGGUAUUUUUUUACAAGUUAAACAAUUUUCUUGUUAACUAAAGUAAAUAAAAUGUGUAUUGUUUAUAUUAAAAAUAAUUAUGAAUAGUCACUGCAAUAUUUAUUAUUUUAGUUAAACUAUCUAUGGUAACUCUCUUGUAAAACAAACAUGACUUAUGAAUUAUUCAGAAGUUUAUAUGAAAAUAAUGGAAUAAAAUUUUGAGAAGGAAGACCAUCAUGAUUCAUACAAUUAACUACUGUCUGAAAAUAAUUUUUAAAUAUGUUUUUUAAUUGAACCCGAAAAAUUAUCAUAAGUUUUUGUGAUGUCAUAAAAGUAUAAAAAAUGGAAUAUCUUUUUAAUCUAAUGUAAAAAUAAGGAAGAAUGUUAAUUAUAAUAUUGGAAAUGAUUUUUAAUAUUUUUUCUGUAAUUGACUAGAUUUUGUAUAAAUUGUCAAAAUACUCCUAAUUAACCAAUUUAAGAAGUCUAAAAUUGAUUUUUAGUGAGAAUAAUUUUUAACCAUUAAGAAUAUUAAUUUGAUGAUAAAAUUUGAAAUGUGUUCCAUAAAUAAUAAAUAAUUUUCAAGAUUUUUUUGAAAAUAUAUGAAGUACAUAUUGCACUAAAUUGUAGAAUAUUAAAGGCUAACAAAUUAAGUUCAGCAAAUAUUUUCUAUUACUAAACUUAUCGAACUCUCUCUAGAUUUUUAGAUGUGAUUCUUGUUAAAUAUUUUGAAAAUUAAAGAUAUUUCUAUCUCUAAAAGUUGAAGUGCAAGAUUAUCAUGAAUGAUCAUGAGUACUUUGAUUAUUUUAUACAAAAUUAUAUAAUUAUAGUAAAAAAUAUAUAAUUAUGUAAUAUUGUAGAUCAUAUUAUAAGUGUAAAAUAAAGUUUUAAUCCAUUACUAUAUGUUACUGAAUAAUAUUAUGUUAGUAAGUGAGUUUAAAUCGAAUUCAAGAUUAUAAAAUAAUUGAUUUAUAAAUGAUUUAGUUAUACUUUUAGUUCAUUGUAAAAUAUUUAAUAAAUAUAAAGUCUCUUAAUUAAGAAUGAUCUUUUAUUAUUAAAUAAUCACUUGAUAACUUAACUUUUAAGAGUAAUGUGGUUAUUGAAAAAUUAAAAUUUUGUAAUUAUAGGAACAAAAGUAAAAUAAUGAUAUAAAAUGAUUGUUUAAAUUUAUUAGGAUAUCAAUAUAUUGUUACUUUAAUAAUAAUAAAAUAUAAUCAUUAAUUUGGUUCUAUACUAGUCUUAGUCUUUAUGCUCGUGUUGGUCAUAGUCAACAAUUUUGUCGUAAAUUUCGUUCCAUUAAUAAAAAAAUCUUGAAUAAAAUAAAAUGAAUUAAUUUAAUAAAAAAAAUAGCAAAAUAUAAAAAAGGAUUAAAAUAAAAAUAAGAAAAGGUGUUUAUUUAAUUUAACAAAACUUUAAAACAUAUAAAAAUAUAUUGUAAUUUAUUUUAUUAAAAAUAUAUUAAAAUAUUAAAAAAGUAAAUUGAAAAAAAUGAAAAUAUGUUUUUAUUUAAUUUAAGAAAACUUAUUUAAUUAGUUAUUUUGACGAUUCAAUAAACACGUUUUUUUUUUUUGUUUUAUUGAUGAAUGUUCUUUUUGAAAAUUCUACUAUAUGAAAAUUCAACUAUGAAAAUUCAAGUAUCUUUUUUCUACAAGAGUAUGUUUUUCUAUAAGAGUAUUUUAAGGGUAUAGUUUUGUCAACACAAUCAUUUUUGUUUGUAACAAGUAGAAUCAGUAUUAUAAAUAGUUUUUCUUUUCCAUUAUAAUCAAAGCUUUACCUUUUUCAUAACUUCUGUAAUAAAUUUUCAUUAAAUAGUAACGUAGAGUGCAAAAAUAAAAUUUUAAUUCUGAUUUAGAACAAUAUUAAAAAACCUUAUGAUAUUUGGUACAAUAUUCUGAAUAACAAAAAAUAUUUUAUUUCUUAUAAGCAAAAAUAUAAUUUCCUAUUCUAACAAAUUUAAAAAUUAUUUUAAAUUAAAAUUUUGAAUUUUUAAAAAAUUAGAGAAAUUUGAAUUUGAAAAAAAAGAAAAAGAAUCCAAAUUUUACAAUUUUACCCUUUAAAUAACUACUUUUUUUUAAAUUCAAAUAAUUCUUUCGAAUAAAAAAUAAUCUACACGAUAAAAAAAUUGCAUACAAGAAACUUAAAAAAUUACUUAUUUUUUUAAUAAUUUCUAAUAAAAAUAUUUUUAUAAUAUAUUUUUAUUUCAAUAUAAAGAAAAAAAGUGUAAUUAUUCAUCUUUAAAAAAUAAUUUUGUUUAUUAUAUAAAAUAAAUAAUUGAAUAUUUUUUUAUUUUAAAAUAAUAAAUAACUUCUUUUUUUAAAACUAAUUGAUAUAUAUGGAUGAUAAUUUUUACCUUAUAUAAUUAAUUUUUUAAAUGAAGAAUAAAAUAUAUUCUAAAUUCAUGUUUUUCUAUAUAUAGUAAGAUUCUAAAUUAUAUUUUAUAAUAAAAUGUAAAAAAAUAAAAAAUACACGUAGGUCUGUGUUUUCGUUAAUUAGUAAUAAUAAUAAAAAGGAUAAAAGUAAUAUAUUGAUUUUAAAACAAUAUGCAGAAAGUUUAAUUUUCGGAUUCUGUAUAAAUGGUCAAAAUGUCACCUUUUUUUCAUUAAAAGUGAUGCAUAUAACGAAAAAUUCAUUACUCCAAUCUCUUAUAGUCAAAUUGUUGGAAUGGAGUUCCCAUUUUGUCAUGGUUUGUUAAUGCUUUAUUAAUAUAAUUUUGGCAAAAAAUUGAUGUUUGAUACAAAACUUAAGAAUUAAAAAAAUUAAAAUCUUUUACUAAAUUAAUUUAUACACAAGAUAAUUUUAAUUUUUAAAAGUGCAUUUUUUUAUUCUUUGAAAUAUUUAUAAAAUUUGUCUAAACAUACUAUUUAAUACAUGAAACAAUAAUAUUCAAGCUUUACGAAAAAUAAAUAUUAAAGUAAAUACAAUCAAUCACUAUCAUGGUCAAAAGUCUUCUCACAAUUCAAAUUUAAAUUUGAUUUCUUUAAGCUAACUCCUUUAUGCACUACAAUAAAAUCAUGAAAUAAAAACCAAUUUUUAGAAACCAAAAUAAUUAGUUGCAAUAGUAACUAAAUUAGAGACCAUUUUAGAAACUAAAAAGAAAUUUGGUUUCUAAAUUAGUUUCUAUUAUUUUAUAUUAUUGUUAAAUAGUUUCUAAAUUAGUAUCUAAUUAGCAACCAAGGUUUUUGCUACCAAAUUUAGAAACUAAUAUAAUCACACAAUAUAAUAUAAUCACUAGCGCAUAAAUGCUAAUCAAAUCUUGUAGUUAAGUUUAUAGUUUAUUUUACUGCAACAGCCAGGUUUAUCACCCAAGUUUUUACAGUGUCCAAGGAAGAGUUAACCACUAGACCAGACAAAUCCUUUGAUCAUAUUAUCAUUUUUAUUAUACUUAUUAUUAUUAACAUAAUUUAUACAUAUUAAUAUAAUUAUUAUUAAUAAUAAUAAAAUAAAUUAUAUUCAUAUUAUUAAUAUUAUUAAUAUUAUUAAUAUUAUUCAUAUUAUUAAUAUUUAUUAAUAUUAUUACUAAUAUUAUUAUUAUUAUUAUUAUUAUUAUUAUUAUUAUUAAUAUUAUUAUUAAUAACUAGUGGGAACACGAGCACUCAUGUGCCUGUAUCCGCAUUUUUCAUUUUUACUAUUUAUAUAUUCAUAUAAUUUUAAUAAAUAUUAAAUUAUAUGAGAAGAUAUGUAAAUUAUCUAAAUGCAUCAUUGAUAAUAGUUUUAUUAAGAAUUUAUGUUAAUUUUUUUUUAUAUUUUCAUUUUAUUAUUUUUGAAUAUUAAAUUUUGAUUAAACUUGGGUGUAAUCUUGAACUUUGUAAGGUUAUCAAGGUUAAAAUUAAGGUUUAAAAAAAAUGGACCAGCAAACAAUGUCAAAACAUAAUGCAAAUGGUUGUAUGUUGGAAGUUGCGGAAUCUAUCACCAUAUCAAUUGAAUCCACAUCUUCCAUGGCAAAGAAGUUGAAAAAAAUAAAAUAAUAAACUAAAUACAAAUUACCAAACUUCCAACAUAUCUAAUAGAUCAAAGCACAGUAGACAUAAAAACUUUGCCCGCAAAGCUGGGCUUAAAAUUCAUUCAAAAAUAUAUAUAAAAAAAAAUUAAGAAAGCAAUAGAAACAAAAAUGUUCAAAUCAUAUAACAAUAAGACACGUCUCUGCUUCGAACGCUUUGGGAAGUGCGAGAAGGAAGAAACAAUGGUGGUCGUUGUUGUACAGUGGUGAUUGAAGAGGGAAUAAGAUGGGUGAGAGUAGGAGAAGAACAUGGAGCGUGAAGGAAGAGAGUUCAAAAUGUGUCAAAAUUUAUGAGCUUUUUUUUUUCUUUGGAUGCAACGGGUGAAAUUACUCCUUAUAAGAAAGUGGAAGAAAGUGGUAACCGCUCAACUACUCCUUAUAGGGAGUGAAUGUAACUGGUGAAAACUAUUCCUUCGUAAGAAAGUGGAUGUAAAUGGUGACGGUGGAAACUACUGAAGAAAGUGGUAACCGCUCAGUAAUAAUCAAAUUGUUCACGUUUGGCCACUACUCACAUUUCCUAAUAUUUAUUUCUCUCUCAUGAAACAGACACUCUCUCUCGUUAUGCAAUUAAUUUUCAAAAUAAAUUAUCUCUUUCAAUUCAAACGGUUGUUCCAUUUAUUUCAAAUAUUUUAUUAAAUUUAUUUCUCUCUCAUACAACAGACACUCUUUCAUUAUGGAAUUAAUUUUCAAAAUAAAUUAUCUCUUUCAAUUCAUAACCACUCCUCCACCUCUCUUUCAAUUCAUAACCGUUCCUCCACCUCUCUUUCAAUUCAUAAAUGUUCCUCCACCUCUCUUUCAAUUCAUAACCGUUCCUCCACCUCUCUUUCAAUUCAUAAAUGUCCACUACGUAUAUUAAAUAUUGUAGAAAAAAUAAGAAAGGGCACAAUGACCAUAAUACAAUAAUAAAAUUAAAAAUUAAUAUAAGGAUAAAAUGGGAAAAAAUUAAGAGCAGUUAAGAGGGAAUAAGAAAUGAUACAAUGACCAUAAUACAAUAAUAAAAUUAAAUAUUAAUAUAAGGAUAAAAUAUGAAAAAAAAUUAAGAGAAGUUAAAAGGGGAAUCCCCUUUAUAUAUACUAGCGGGAACACAGGCGCUCUCGCGCAGGUGUAUCCGCAUUUUUUUAUUUUUGUUUUUAAUGUAUAUCUAUAUUUUAUUUUUAUUAUUAUGUAUCUAAUAUUUUAUUUUUAUAAUUAUUGUAUUUUUUUAUUUUUUCUAUUAAUGUUAUUAUUAUUAUUAUGUAUCAAUAUUUUCUAUUUUUACUGAUUUGACUAUUCAUUAAAUCUAUAAUAGUUUGAUUUUAAUUAGUAUUUCAAACUAAAAGAAACUUAGGUCUUAAUUAAUACAUUGUUUUAGUGAUUAUAGUAAUAUUUAACCUUUUAAAUCAAAUAUAUAGACGAUCAUAUAUAUACUCAUUUUGUUUUAACAUAGAUUGUGAAAAUUAUGUCAUAAAAAUAUUUUUUUAAAUGCAUAUUGAUUGAAUAUUAUUAAAACUCAUUAAAUUUAGUAAAAUUAUGUUUAUUAUGGUUUACGAAAUAAUUUUAAAAGACCUCCUAUUAAAUUAUGUUCCACAACAUAAAAAAAAAUCAGAUAUUCAUAAAUAAAAAUAUAAAGUUAUCACUUUCCAUUUUUUUAUAAACUAAAAUAAGAUAAUGCAUAAAAUAAAAAAAAUAUAAACCAAAAUAAGAUAAUGCAUAAAAUAAAAAAUUGAAACAUUUUACAUACUAAUUUGACUGUUCAAAUUUGAAGUAGAGUAAUGAUGAAAAAACAUUAUUCUAUAAUUGCGAAGGUGAAAUUAGAGUAUGAGAAGUUAUCACUUUCCAUUUUUUUUUAUAAUUUAAUAUAAAGCAAAGCAAAAAAGUUAAAAUUGUUUGAAUUAUAAUGUAGUGCAAUAUUGAGAAAAUAUAGGUCCUAUGUUUUUUAGUCUUGAGUAUAGGCUAGACCCUCAUUAGACACAACAAAACCUUCAUAAUCAUUAGACAACAAAACCUGCAUAGUUUCUUGAAAACAAAUAAACCUUGGAGAGAUGCUCCUAGAACACCAUUGUCGAGAUUUUCCCAAUCACGGAUCCAAAGCCACUGCAAAAAAAAAACUCCAAAAACUCACAAACAAUCCAUGAAAAGUGCAAGAUUAAUCAAAGAAAUGAAAGUAUGAUUUUACAUGAAAGUGAAAAGGAAAGAGAAAAGAAAAGUGAGAAGUAUGGUAAAAAAAAGAAUGUGUUAUGUGUAGUGGAGAGAGAAAGUGGGAAGUAGGUACCUAUAUAGGAGAGAGAAAGUGGAAAGUAGGAUACGUGAGUUAUGUGUAAUCGAGAAUAUCAGUUUAAAUAAAAAAAAAAGUAACGUACUAAAUCUCCACUCUCCUACUAAAGUGGUCCACAAAAUAUUACAAAUAUCUUUAAUUUUUUAUUUAAUAAAAAAAAAAUCUUUAAAACAGAAAAGUAACUAAUCACUCUCUCCACUCUCCCCACCCUCUCCACUCUCUCCACUCUCCCCACCCUCUCCACUCUCUCCACAAUUAAAUAAUAACAAAUAAAAUAAAUUUUAAAAUUAUUUUAUUAAUUUUUGAAAUUAUAAAAUGUCCAAAUAACCAAAAUAAAUUAAUACAAUAAAUUAUUAAGUAAGGAUAAAAUAGAAAAAAGAAUUAAGAGCAAUUAAGAGGUGAAUAAGAAAUGACAAAAUGACCAUAAUACAAUAAUAAAAAUAAAUAUUAAUAUAAGGAUAAAAUAGGAAAAAAAUUUAGAGCAGUUAAGAGGGGAAUCCCCUUUAUAUAAUAUAUAUAUAUAUAUAGGUAUAGAUGUAUAGAUAUUAUUAUUAACAUUAUUAUUAUAUUCAUAUUAUUAAUAUUAAUAUUGUUAAUAAUAAUAAGUAUAAUAAAAAUCAUAAUCAUACUAAAGCAUUUGCUUGGUGUAGUGGUUAAAUUUUCUUUAAGUUAUUAUUCACGUGAAAAUCAAUUUUAGAUUUAACUCAAAUUCAUAAUAUUUCUCUUAUAAGUUUCAUAACACUUUGCGGUUAUACUUAUAUAAUUAAAAUGUAAGUUAAAUAAAGUUUUCAUUUACUUCUAUGAUUAAAAUGUUUUAUUUUUAAUUGUUGAGUAAUAUUCAACAAAGAACAGAUAGAUAUCAACAUUUGUUUUAGAAUUUAGGGUGAAAAUAAACCAUUCUAGUUGACUCAACUUCUGUAAUUAUUCAUAAUACACUUAUUCACGUGUUUAGUUGACAUUUCUCCAAUAUUUAUAGUUAAAAUGCAUGUGCAUGGCUAUAUUAUUUCCAGAUCCGAUCGGAAGCUAGCGUAAAUAAAGAGCUAGCACUAAUAUUUGAAGGUAUAUAAUAUAAAUAACAUUUUUUGUUAAACAUUGAUUAGAUGAUAUGAUUGGCAAAUUAAAACACUUGUAAAUUACGGUUUUCAUGGAAAACUCAAUUUCUUUAUAGCACUUAAGAAUAACGAAGUUAAUAAUAGAUGAGACAUUAAAGAGAGGAUAAGCAGAUGAGAGAUAAAAGAGAAUCUAUACGUAACAAUAAAUUAAUACAUAAAGAAUUAAUUAAUAUUAAAAUUGGUGACUUAUCAUCAUAUUUUUUUUUUCUUUUGACUAAGUUGAUGUAUUUUUUUUAUAAUUUUUAUUUUUAUUUAAGUUUGUUUAUUUUAGAUUUAUUGAAUCUGUUUUUUAUUUUGAAAUAGUGAAAUUUUGAAUAAGUCUAUGUAGAAAUAUAUAUAUAAUAGGAUCUAAUUUUUUGAUGUAGUAUAUUGAGUAGAUUUUUUUUUUAUAAGUGUUGGAGUAUUCCUUUGUAUUUCUAUUUUUUUUAUUUGCUAAAGAAAAUGGUUAAGAGAAAAUAUUAAGUGUUGAGGAAAUGGUACUAUUGUAGUUGGAAAUUCCAUUUAUAAAUAACACCUGACUUCUCAUGGAAAUUCCAUUUAUAAAUUCAAGAAUCUUUCUUAUCCUCUCUUAUCCUUUUCUCUCCCAAAAGAUACAUUAACUGUUGUUCCUGAUUCUUUUCUCAUUCAAACAAGUUCUUUCUCCAUUCCAACUUCCAAAACUACUCUAGAUUGACUGUCAUCUCCCCUCCUAGCCAAAUGUAAGCUUCUUUAUUAGAACAAAUGGAAAACAUCAUUGGAAGAUUGACCUUGAGAAACAUAUUUCUCGUCCAUUUGUCCUCCUAUAACCUUAUCUCUCUCUCGUUAUCUACCUCCCAUAAAAUUAUCCUAAAGUUGUCUUUCUAACACUCAAGAAACCAAAUUUCUUUCAAAUUCCACCACAAAAAAAAUAAAAAAUAUGAUCUACAAUUCUUUUACACCCAAAAAUCUCUUCAACCUCCAUACUUAGAAUCCAGUACUUUUUCCCACAAAUCUUUCUUCUCAUCGCCUAAGAGCCAAAUCCACAUUUGAUAAUUUUAAUGUACACAUUUAAAAGGUAAACCAUAUUUAAUAAAAGAUUAUUCAUAACUUUAACAUAAAUCUAAUAUUUCUCUCGUUAUUUUUCUUUUGUGGUAAUUUUAUCAACAAAUAAGUAACAUCACUAUUAAAGGUUAAGUUAAACAUGUGUGUUUUUCUUACGUAAUUUUUUACAUGACUCCAUGUCAUCAUGAAUCAAAUUAAAACUAUUGUUAACUAAAAUAAGAUAAAAGAAAUUGUGUUCACUACCACCACUUAAUUUAAAAAUUAAAAUGAAAUAUUAAGAUAUUAAAAUAAAUUUCAAUUUAUUUCCUUUUCUUGCAUCAAGUUAGCAGCGAUCAACAAAAUUGAAUAAAAAAUAAACUUUUACUUCAUUUCUUUCCUUCCAUUAUUUCUUCUUUUCAUAUUUUCUUAUUAUUUUUAUAUCUUUUUUUCAAAAAAAAUUUCUGUCGUUCAUACUUUUCCAUUAUUUUUUUUUUAAUUUCUCACUUCAUUUUUCAUUUUUUUUCAAAAUCAAAUUUUAUUUUACAAUAAUUGACGUUGACAUGUACAGGAUUAUUUUCACCUUUAUGAUAUUUCAGUUUAGAAUCAUAUUUUCAUCAUAUUUCAGUUUAGAAUAAUUAUUUUCAUCAUAUUUAAUAAAAAAUAAUUUUAAAGAUAAAAAAUAAUAUAAACUAAAAAUUUAUUGAUAUUUAAAAUAAUUUUUAUUAUUAAUAAAAAAUAUAAAAUAAUUUCCAAAUUAAUAUAUAACAUUAACCAUCAAAGUUUUACCUACUAGUCAAUAUAAUAAUUAAUUAUUUUUUUUAAUUAAAGAAAAUAAUCAAAUCAAGUAGUUUAACUUCAAAUUAAAACUUUGUAUUCAUUUAGUUAUAUUAGGUUUCUAGGAUUAAAAAAAUCUUUAAAGAUNNNNNNNNNNNNNNNNNNNNNNNNNNNNNNNNNNNNNNNNNNNNNNNNNNNNNNNNNNNNNNNNNNNNNNNNNNNNNNNNNNNNNNNNNNNNNNNNNNNNNNNNNNNNNNNNNNNNNNNNNNNNNNNNNNNNNNNNNNNNNNNNNNNNNNNNNNNNNNNNNNNNNNNNNNNNNNNNNNNNNNNNNNNNNNNNNNNNNNNNNNNNNNNNNNNNNNNNNNNNNNNNNNNNNNNNNNNNNNNNNNNNNNNNNNNNNNNNNNNNNNNNNNNNNNNNNNNNNNNNNNNNNNNNNNNNNNNNNNNNNNNNNNNNNNNNNNNNNNNNNNNNNNNNNNNNNNNNNNNNNNNNNNNNNNNNNNNNNNNNNNNNNNNNNNNNNNNNNNNNNNNNNNNNNNNNNNNNNNNNNNNNNNNNNNNNNNNNNNNNNNNNNNNNNNNGACUCAGGAGACGUUGAAAGCGCCGAGGGUUAGAGCGCGACCGGCAAAGACCGAUGAGGCGAUGGAAGUCUGCGCUGUUAGGGAGCCCGGCACGUGGAUAACACCGUACCAGUUGUACUUAGAAGAUGGCGUACUCCCACUUGACCCGACAGAGGCAAAAAGAAUAAAGAGGAGUUCGAGUAAGUUUACUUUGAUUGAUGGGAACCUGUUUAGAUUUGGGUUUUCUCAUCCUGUGCAGAUCUGCGUGUAUGGCGAGCAAUGCACUAGACUUAUGUCAGAGCUACACGAUGGGUAAAGUAACAUGAAUAAUAAAGUGUAGCAACAUUAAAGAUCUUGGAAUUGAUUAUGAAUGAGAAAUUUUUUAUAUAGUCUAUUUUAAACUCAUAAUUAUCUAAGUAUAAUGCAUUUCAAAUGACCUAUAAUACCGUGAUCAAUAAGUAGAAUGUGCAUGAAUUGCACUGUUGGUUCAAUAAGAGAUAGAAUUUAAAAAUUAGUAAAAUAAUUUAGUUCAUCAUGUAAGCGAUCAAGAAAAUCAAGGAACUAGAUUUUUUGUGUGUGAAGAAACAUGAUACAAGGAAAAAAAUGUUAAAGAUUAAUCAUGCAUCUAUAAAAAUCUAGAAAAAAUAAUUAAAAGACAAUAAUGAUCAUUUAUGAGAUAAACUGAACAUGUUGGUUUUCAUAGUAAAUGGAUCAAAGGUUGCAUGGAGUCUACCUCUGUGUCUGUGUUGGUUAACGGAAGUCCUACUGAAGAGUUCUACCCUCUGAGAGGGUUGAGGCAGAAGACCUACUAGCUCCGUUCCUUUUUCUAGUUGUAGCUGAAUGUUUGACUGGGUUAGUUAGGAAAGCUAUUAAGUCCAACAUGCUUACUAGGGUGAAGGUGGGGAGGAACGAGGUUGAAUCUUGUGUGCUUCAGUUUAUUGAUGACACUAUUUUCAUGUGAGAAAGACUCUUACUCUAAUGUGUUCACUCUGAAAGAAAUUCUAAGGUGUUAUGAGUUGACUUCUAGGUUAAAAAUUAAUUUUCAUAAAUCAAUGUUGGUAGGUAUUAAUUUGGUUAGGAGUAACCUUGAUUGCUAUGCAAGAUGUCUUAACUGUACUCUUAUGUGGACACAGUUUAAAUACCUGGGUCUUGAAGUUGGUGUUAAUAUGAGAAAAAAGGAGUCUUGGGAGCCAGUUUUGAAUAAAAUUAGUACGCGGCUUAGUGUUUGGAAGGGUAGAUUCUUAUCUUUGUCAGGGAGAAUUUGCUUAAUUAAGUUGGUGCUCACAACCUUACCUCUCUUUCAUCUCUCUUUCUAUAAAGCGUCAGAGUCCGUAUAUAGUAGAAUCAUAAGUAUUCAAAGGAAGUUUCUUUGGGGUUGGGGAAAGGAUAAUAGAGUUAUCUCUUGGGUCAGUUCGGAAAACGUAUGCAAACCUAUGAAGUAAGGUGGAUUGGGGUCAGAGACAUUAGAAAGUUCAAUGAAGCUCUUUUGGCCAAAUGGAAAUGGUGUUUGGUGAGUGAAGAACGAGGAAAGUGAAAGGAUAUUUUAAUUUCUAAAUAUGGAGUUGAAUCAAGUCAACGUCACUAACCCAAGAAGUACCAGUCUUGGUGGUGGAGGGAUUUGUCUAAAGUUUGUGGCGAGGAUAAUGUAGAAGGGUGGUUUAAAGAAGCUCUGGUCUGGAAAGUGGGCUUUGGGGAUAAAGUCAGAUUCUAUUAGGAUGUCUGGGCAGGUGAUAAUAAGCUUAUCUCGUUGUAUUCGAGGUUGCAUUCUAUAUCUUUGAACAAAAGGCUGACAGUGGGUGAGGUUGGAGGGUGGGAAAACUCAAUUUGAAAAUGGUGGCUUAGAUGGAGGAGAACUAAAUUCGAGUGAGAAUCCUUACAAAGAAGAAGAAAUGAUAAGGCUUAUCUUCACAGAUUUUCUGAACAUGGAGGCACAAGACUGUCAAUUGUGGGGAGGUAACAUCACAAACGUGUAUGGUGCCUAUGCUUUAGAUGAAUAGAUAUUUUGUUCGUCCAAUAUAAGGACCUGAGAUUCCAUUUCAAGAACUUAUAUUUAGUGCAUUUGAGCUCUAAGAAGAAUAAGGUGUGGACAGGAUUGUGGAGUGGCCGUAGUAAGUCCCUGACGCGCGGAAGAAAUCUUCCAAAUAACACAGAUCUUGUCAAUCUAUGAGGAAGCUACAGUAGGGCAGAAGAGAUGUGCUAUGAGGUUCAGUAUGCUGCGGUUUUGAAGCAGUCAUGCUACUAUUAGAAGCAUUCUGUUUAGCACGGAAUCUGUCGGAUGGGAGGACUCUGAACUCAUUAAAAAGCUGGAGGGAAAUAAGAGGUAUUGGUUGUUAUUUGUUAAGCUCUGUUAAGGAUGUUGUUAUGGGAAGCUUGCAGAUUACAAUCCUCUCUAUAUGGACGACAAGAAGUUGUGCAACCUCUUGUUGUAGAAGGUGCAGAAGUAUGUGGGAUUAUGGAGGGCCAGGUGUUGCUGGUGUUUUUUGGAAGAUGAAGGAGGGCUAAUAUAUGUGGCCUUAUACCUAGUAUCCAUAUUAGUUCUGUUUUUUGUUUAGCAGUUCUAUACUCAUAUUUUGUUAGACAAAGUUGGAAAGGUUUAAAGAAGUGUAGGGGAAUAAACUUUGACAAGGGAAGAACUUUUUACUGGGUCUUCUAUAAAGGUUGGAGUAUUAAUGAAAUACCUUAUUAUUUUUAUUUAGUCACUAAAAAAAUCAUCAACAAAUGUGUAUGAAUUACACAACAUGUUCAAGAAGAAAGUGAAUUUAAAAAUUAGGAAAGUAACUUAGUUGAUUAUGAAAAUCAUAAAAAAAAACCAGAAUUUUUUAUGUGAAGAAGCAUGAUAUAGGGAAAAGGAUGUUAAAAGGUUAAUAUGCAUCUAUUAAAAUCUAGAAAUAUUAAUUAAGACAAUAAAUAUCCUUUUUUUGAGAAAUAUGAACAUUUUUAGAAGGAUUUCUCAAGACGUUAAAAAAGAAGGAUAUUAUGCAUGUUUCUAAUGAGAUUUAACUAAAGUUUUCAUAAUACACAUUGGAUUGAUUCUGAAUUUACUAGAGAUUAUUUAGUGCAUAAAUCAUAAAUUCAAAAUAAAUAAAAAAAUUCUUCAUGAAAAUAGUGAAAACUCCAGUGGAAACGUUCUAAUCUUAUCUUUGCAUAUUUCAAUUGUUUUAUUUUAUUAAUAUAAAAAGUGAAUAUAACAUGAUAUAUUACACACCAGGAGUUUAUUCUGUUAUUUUAAAAUUAUAAAAAUAAACACAUAAAACACAUAAAGAAGCAAUUAGAAAUAAAGCAGAGGAAGUAGAGGUAAAGAGCAUAAUGGUCUACUUGAAGAACUCCAUAACCCAAAAAUUGUUUACAUGACAUUCAUAUCUGAUGCCACUGAAUCCAGCUGCUCUUGCCAAUUUCAUGAACUCUUCUUCACAUCGUUCUUUACCUCCCUCGUGCUGAGUCAUCAUCAAAACAUCCAGUUGUGAAACCCCCUUAUAAGCAUUACUAGUCUCUGGUGUUUUUGGAAGAACUGCCUCCACAACUAUCACCUUUCCAUCAUCAGGAAUUGCAUCAUAACAAUUCUUCAACAGCUUCACACAAUGUUCAUCACUCCAAUCAUGAACUAUCCACUGCACAGUUUACUUAAUGUCAAAGCUCAUUGAAGAUUGGUAUAAGUUUCAUGCAUCAGUUUCAAUAAAUCAAACUUUCAAUCAACUGCUAUUCAUAUUCAACAUAAGAAACACGUUCGUAGUGGUUAGAAGUUUAAGCUAAAGUAAAAAGGGUGUUUGAUAAAAGGAGAGAUUCCUCUCCUCUUUAAAAUUAAAUACUAUAUAUUUCCCUAGCACCCAUCAUUAUGAAUUGACCAAAAUCCCCUGUAAGACAGCCACACUUACCUUCAUAAAUAUGGCGUCUCCUUUUGGCACAUUUUCAAACAUAUCUCCCCCAACGUGUUCCACUCCUGCAAUAUUAGGUACCUUUUGCUUUUAAAACUCAACAUCAUAUAUUAUUAACAAAGAAAGUAUUGGACUCUAAGCAAGUAAAUAGUACACACUAUUUAUGUUAUUGUCUUGUAAAACUCUAAAUUUACCAAAUAAGUCUUCAAAGGACAAAAAGAACAUUUUUUUUUUAAUUUUGCAGAACCACAGAAUUGGAAUGUGUAAGGAUGAUACCAGGAUAGGAAGGAGCCUCUUGAAUGACAUGAGGCAAGUCGAAAUUGAUGCCAUGAAUAUGAGGGUAUUUAGAAGUGAUCAAGUUAAUGUUGAUUCCAAGACCACCAGCAACAUCUACCAGUGUUUUUAUGCCCUCAAAACCUUUGUAGGAUUCCAGAACCUUCUUCAUAACCAAAGUGGUGUGAUUGAUCAUAGCUGUGUUGAAAACCUUGUUGAAUCUUGAGUCCAAACGUGGAUAGUCAAAAGCAUGAGUGCCAUAAACCCUGUUGAAUGGAACACCCCCCUCCCUAAUUGCAUCUUUCAGCUCACUCCUAUUUUAAAACAUACCAAUAUGUUUGUGAGGGAAAAGGAGAUAAAAUGAUAAUAGUUGAGAGAGAGAGAGAGAGUUGAACCAGCUUUGUAGGAAGAUUUUGUCUUGGAGUAAGGCCAUCACGGGCCCCAAGGAAACUCCAUCAGAAUUGGGAGCAAAGAAUGCGGCGACGGGAGUGAUGGUGUAGAGGCGGUGAAAGGUGGGAGGAAGACGGUGGUCGGAAGUGAGGGAAGAGUUAAGAAUGGAGUGAGAAGAAAGAAGUGCAAGGAGACGAUCUAUCAUUGAGGCUGCUUCUGGGUUACUGCAACCAAUCUUUGAUGCUAUUUCCUUAGCAGACACCUUAGCACCUUCUCCGGCUUCUUUCAGCACCUCAAAGACUCCCAGCUCCGUCGCCGAUUGCACUGCCAUGGAAAGGACCACGGAAGUCGCAAGCUGCAUGGCACGGGAGAAGCUUUCUGCAUCUUCUUCCUUCCUCUUCUCUUCAUCAUUCAGCGUUGAAUCUGGAAGGCUUGCCAUCUCCACUUCAACCUGCAAUCGUUCACCAACUUCUCCACUAUAUAUUAAACCAUCCAUUGAAAACCUUUAUACUUUAUUAUUCUGAGAUACUUAUAAUAAUUUGGGUGUUGAUAUGUCAACACCACAAUAAAAAACCAUUCGUUGACAAAUCAAUAAAAUAAUAUUUUAAUUAUAUUUAAUUUAUUUUAAAUUUUCAAAUAUUAUUAUAAUAUAAUGUUAAGUAUAUGCUUUUUAUUGUGUGUAGGAUAAUAUUUUUUAGUUAUAAGGCAUUAUUUUAAAGAGACAACACUAAUAUUUUGAAGGUAAUAAAUAACAUUUUUUAAUAAACAUUGUUUAUGGUGGUGUGGUGGCUAGCUAAGAACUUUAUUAUGAGUCUAAAUAAUUGAUUAGAUGAUUGGCAAAUUAAUACAAUUGUAAAUGGAAAACCCAAUUUCCUUAUAAAUAACACCUCUGACCUUUGAUGGAGCUUGAGAAGUUUGUUGCAUGGAUUAGGGUUUUUGAUAUAUAAAAGCUUUUCAAUCCUUAUAAAUUAAUAUAAUGAAAUAUGUAGUAGCAGAAAUAGUUGUAGACAAAAUAAUAUUAUCUGAAUGCGGUGUUUUAGCUAGGUAUUCAGUGAAAUCAGACCGCCACAAUUUAAUUCAUUUUGAUGGAAAAUUGUGCGUACAACAGUUUCCAAUGAGAUAGUAUAUCCCUCAAAGAUAGACUCAAAUUGAAGAUCAAGAAUUAUUGAAAAUCAAAAUUAUGAUUUAACUUCAAAAUAUUUAUACUUACUUAAAUAAAUCUUAAUUUAUUUCCUUUUCUUGCAUCAAGUUAGCAUGGAUCAAAAAAAUUGUAUAAAAAAAAUAGACUUUUAGUUCAAUUCUUUCCUUAUCAUUAUUUCUUCUUUUCAUAUAUUUUUCUAAUUAUUAUUCUUUAUUUUUUUUUAAAGUUUCCUCUGCCUCACACUUUUCCAUUCUUUUGUUUAAAAUUUCUUGCUUCAUUUGUAUUUUUUUUUUCAAAACCAAAUUUUAUUGUGUGUGUUCAAGAUCACUUUCAUCUUUAUCAUAUUUUAAUUUAGAAAAUUAUCUUCUUCUUAUUUGAAAAUCUCACAAUUCCUUUUUCUCUGUUGAUAUUUGAUUUUUUUUUUAUCUGUAAUGAAUUAAUUAAAUAAAAAGAAACUCUUUCCAACAUGUAUACAUAGAACUCCUAAUAAAACUACCUACAAUACAUGCAUGCUAACUAAGAGACACACCACUUAGUUCCAAAAGAGCUAUGUAAUUACAACCCCAAAACCUGCUUCAAACCAACAAACAAAACCUGUUAGUACAUAUAGGCAUAGCUUGCUACCAGCCCACCAAGCAAGCCACUAACACUCUAACCAGAAAGCAAAACAACAACAUCUCAGACACCUUCCUCGGUAAGCAGAAACCAGAUGAGAAAGCAGUUGCUACUCCAUGAUCUCUUCUCCCUUACAUUCUAUACAAUAUGGCAUAUCUGCACCUUUGUAACCAGCUUCUACCAGGAAACCCUUAGUAGAAAAACAUCAACAAGAUAAAGCUACACUUUUAUAGAAUCUACAUAACACAUUAAACAGAGGAAAAACAUGUGUGCUUGGCUGUGAUUGACCACCAGCUCACUGCUGCAUGACCUGAAAAAAAGCAAUAGACUAUACCAGAACCUAUACCUGUUCAAUUCACUCUGCACCGAAAAACAAGAAACAACUCUUUUGGUCGUUAGACUUGCUCUCCACUCAUGGCAGACAACUAUACCAAACACCACCGCAUGCAGCAUCAAGCUUUAAAUUACUGCAUCAGAGUAAUAAAAUCUAUCCUCCAGAAAGCACUAAUCCGAACCAUUUCCUGUCUAUACCUUCCUUGACCUGCAGAAACCUGUAUGGUCAGGACUACACCACACAACACCCAGCACAAGAACCACCCUCUUAGCACUCUGCUACCAACCCCUGCAGCACUAGAGCCUGCACCACGGCAGUGGGUCUUGGACCCUCUUUUCUAGACACAACUCCUCUAAAAUAAAAUCCAAAGAAACACUUUCUACCCUGCUUAAGCUCACACCCAGUUACUUAAAGCUUUUAACGCAUAUAGACGGAUUAAGUACCCAAUCCACAAAGAGUAGUUGAAGGUAUAUGUCCUAUGCUUCAUCCAUAACCACGACUUGAGCUGAGUCAUAUGAAAAACCUCUUCAACAUUUACAACUCCCUCCUUAAAAAGAAUAGAGUUUCUCUAGUUAAUUACAAGAUUAUGCAGAUAUAUUUUCCAGAUGCACACACACUGAUAUUAGAUUGAAAAACAGUGAAACACAAAAACAGCAAACCUUAAUUCCAAAUAAUGUGAUUUAGGUUCAGUUAAGGGCUUGACAAUUAGUGAGGCAAUCUAUCACACUCAACUUGUUUUACUAGCCUUUAACAGAUUAUCAGUGUUCUUAUUGAAACCAGACAGUUUUCCAGAAAUUAAGAACAGUAUGCACAGCGCCCAGAAAGAACACAUUUAUUUUCAAUUGAACAGAUUUAUUUCUUUGCUGUUUUAUCAAUUAUGCAGAAACGAAAUUGCAGAGAGUGAGAGAGAAUGAACACAAGCAGUUAUACUGGUUCACUCAACUGAGCUACAUCCAGUCUUCACCAAAACCAGGUGGAAAUCACUAAAACACAGUACAACCAAGUACAAUUCCCACUGUUCUUGAAACCUACAAGAACUUAGGUACUCUUGCUGAAAAAACCUAUUUCAGCUCACACACACUCUCCAAGAAAACCUAUCAAGAAGAGUGUUCAACCAAACNNNNNNNNNNNNNNNNNNNNNNNNNNNNNNNNNNNNNNNNNNNNNNNNNNNNNNNNNNNNNNNNNNNNNNNNNNNNNNNNNNNNNNNNNNNNNNNNNNNNNNNNNNNNNNNNNNNNNNNNNNNNNNNNNNNNNNNNNNNNNNNNNNNNNNNNNNNNNNNNNNNNNNNNNNNNNNNNNNNNNNNNNNNNNNNNNNNNNNNNNNNNNNNNNNNNNNNNNNNNNNNNNNNNNNNNNNNNNNNNNNNNNNNNNNNNNNNNNNNNNNNNNNNNNNNNNNNNNNNNNNNNNNNNNNNNNNNNNNNNNNNNNNNNNNNNNNNNNNNNNNNNNNNNNNNNNNNNNNNNNNNNNNNNNNNNNNNNNNNNNNNNNNNNNNNNNNNNNNNNNNNNNNNNNNNNNNNNNNNNNNNNNNNNNNNNNNNNNNNNNNNNNNNNNNNNNNNNNNNNNCUUUAGAAAAGAACAGAUUUAUUUUUAUGCAGUAAACGUGUUUUUUUGAAAAAUAGUUUAAGAAAACUUAUGCUUGUUCUUAUCACAUGGCCAGUGGUUAUGAGGUGAGUUACUCAGCAAAAAGCCCUCUUAAACAACCUCUAAGCACUGCCUAAGACACACUUAAAGCAAAACAAAAAUACACAUGAAAUGUACAUAAAAGUCUUCAUCAAACACAAUCUUGAAGGGGCAGCAACCAUCUUCAACAAUCUCCCCCUGUUUGAUGGAGACAAAUCCCCAUAGCUAACCUCAUAGCUUUGUUGCUUUAAGAACCUGCACUGCACCAGAUUUUAAACCAGAAAAAAACAGCAGUAUUGCAUAACAUGAGAAAUGGUUUUAAGGUGCAGAAUUAACUCCCUGUUUCAGCUAGCUUCACCUAGCAUGGUGAGCUAUUUUUCAGCAGCUAUUUUUCUCCCCCUUUGGAUUCAUCAAACAGCAUAUAAGCAUAGGGAAAACAAAAAUGAAACAAAAACCAUAACCAUAAUAGUUCAGAAAAUAAAACCAUAUUGUUCAGCAUUACAGACAUUUGAAAACUGAUAAAGAAAGCAUUAAAAACAGAAGACUACUGGUCUGACACAAAUAGAUGUUGACAUGAUCCCUCCUUGGUCUGACACAAAACACUUUAGUUAGUUGAUAAAAAUAAUCAUAUCCAAUAGUUCAACUUCAAAUUAAAAUUUUGUAUCUAUUUGAUUAUAUUGGUUUAGGUCUCAAGGAUUUGAAGAAUUUUUAACUUUUUUUUAACUAUUACUUGGAUAAAAAGUAACUUUCAAUAGUUUGAUUAUUGAAGUUGGUAGUCUGUGUACUGAAAUUAAAUAGAUAAAUGUAGAUGUGUAGAAGGACUCUUGAAAUUGAUGAUGAUAUGUAAUGUAACACUACCAGAAAAUCAUGAAAUAGUAACCAAUUUUAGAAAAAAAAAAAUAAUUAGUUGUUAUAGUGACUAAAUUAGAGACCAUUUUAGAAACUAAAAAAAACUUUUGCCUUCUAAAUUAGUUUCUAUUAUGGUUAUAUAGUUUAUAAAUUGGUAUUUAAUUAGCUACCAAAGUUUUUGGUAUCAAAUUAGAUUCUAAAUAAUUAGUAGUUAAAACCUUGGUAGCUAAUUAAAUACCAAUUUAAAAACUAUUUAACAAUAAUAAAAACUAAUUUAGAAACGAAUUUUUUUUAGUCUCUAAAAUGGUCUCUAAUUUAGUCAUUAUAACAACUAAUUAUUUAUUGUUUCUAAAAUUGGUUUCUAUUUCAAGAUUUUCUUGUAGUGUAAGGUUCAAAUUGAGUAUUAUUAUUAGUAACGCUAUAAGAAAAUAAUUAAAUAUCAAUUAAUUUAGAUAAAAAAAUUAAUUAUUAUAUUGAUUAAUCUAUAAAUUAAAAAAUUAUUAAUAUUUACAUUAGUUUCUAUUAGUAAUAAAAGUUUAUAAAAUAGUUUUUAAAUUAUUUAACCUUAACUAUCAAGGUUUUAGUACUAAUUACUUAAAAUUAUAAAUUAGUCAUUCAUUUAAUUAAAGACUAUUUUAUAAUCUAAAGUAGUUAAUAACUAAAAUCUUGGUAGCUAAUAUUAUAUAUCAAUUUGAAAAUUAUAAAUUUUUAUUGAUAAUAGAAACUAAUUACUAAUAAUUUUUUAGUUUAUAAAAUAAUAUCUAAGUUAAUAAUAUAAUGACUAAUUGUUUUUUAUCUCUAAAUUAGUUCUUAUUUAAUGAUUUUUUUAUAGUGUAAAAUAUUCUUUAACUAAGUCCAAAACUAUGUUUAACCCUAGUUAGGACUAUGAAAUUUAUUAGAAUUGAUUUUCGAUUGGUUUUUAACUUUAUGCACAAAUUGUUGUUUUCUCCAUAUCUUAUUUGAGUGUUGAGAUUGCUCUAGUGAUGCUCAAGUGAUAACUUUAAUCUUAAGUGCACAACAUCAGUUUGAGUAAGAGAGAGAAAUUAACGAUUCUCUUUUGUCUUGAAAUUUAUCACUCAGAUGAUGAUUGGUCGCUAAAGUGAUGGUCACUUUAGCAAUGGAGUUUUGUAGGUUUGACUAAGUUUUUUAUUUACCUUUUCUUAAAGGGUUUAUCAUUAAAGUGUUGCUUUAAAGUUCAAGCCGUGAUAAAUAUUGAUCAAGCAACAUAUUAUAGCUUGUGUGAGAAAGAUUUGCUUUAAUUUAGAUACUACACAGAGCAUGAGUAAGAAGUUUAAGUGAUAAAAACUCUUUCAAACCACAUUACACAACUAACUUCAGUGAAGAAACUCUGGUGACAUAUUUUCAUGUGUUUUUUUAUUAGUUAGUUAAGCAUCUAUCUUCACUUAAAUGAUGUUGCAUUGGUUUAGACAAUUAUUGAAAUUGUUAUUAAUAAAAUACCAAUACAAGAAAAUUUGUUAUUUCAUACUGGAUUUGGAUUCAUAUAUAAAUUUGCACCUACCUUCAAAUUUUACCAACAAAUUAUUACUCCAGAUAAAAUUGAGUUACUUUGUUAAUGAAAAUGCCGUUAUUAGUUUUAUAGUUCAACCAAUAUUUAAACUGUCACUAUUAGUGUUUUAAUGACAAUAUAACAAAAAAUUAUCAUCCUAAAUGGACUCAAUAAUGAUGAAUAAUAAAGCAAAAUCUGUCAAAAAAAUAAAAAAUAAAAUUUUGAUGGAACACUAAUAAGUACGUUGACGACCAUAAAGUUCGAGAGUCAAAUACUAUGCAUAAACAAAUUGUAGCAAGACUUAAGAUUUUGGGAUCGACUAUAAAUGAAAAAAAUCUUUAUAAAAUUUAUUUUAAACUCAUCAUUAUCUGAGUAUAGCUCAUUUUAAAUGACCAAUAAUACCAUAGCACAACAAGUUGGUUCAAGAAACACUAGUACAAAAUAUGAAAAUAAUGACCAUUUAUUUAGUGCGGCUUUGCGCUUAAACGCAUUUGCAAAAAACGCGGUGACAUUUUUGAAAUUAAAUUGUUUUACAAAUGCGGUUCUAGAGUAAGACCGCAUUUGUAAAUCAAUUCAAAUUAUUUACAAAUGCGGUCUUUACUAUGACCGCAUUUGUAAUUAAUUUCACAUUGAUUUACAAAUGCGAUCUUACUCUAGAACCACAUUUGUAAAACAAUUUUACCGUACAUUGAUUUAUUGAUCUGUGUACUUGGUAGUUUGAGUACUGAAAUUAGAUGGAUUCUUGAAAUUGAUGAUGGUAUGUAAAGUAAGGUUCAAAUUGAGUAUUAUUAUUAAUAAUGUUAUAAGAAAAUAAUUAAAUAGUUAUUAAUUUGGAUAAAAAUAAUUAUUAUUAUAUUGAUUAACUUGAUACUAUUUUAUAAAAUAAAAAGUUAUUGGCUACAUAAGUUUUUAUUAGUAAUAAAAGUUUAUAAAAUAGUUUUAAAUUGAUAUUUAAUAUUAACUAUAAAUAGUUUAUAAAGGUUUUAAUAAUAAUUACUUUACAUUAUAAAUUAGUCACUUAUUUAAUUAAUUAAAGACUCUAAAAUAGUUAGUAACUAAAAUCUUGGUAGCUAAUAUUAUAUAUCAAUUUGAAAAAUAUUUUAUAAAUUUUUAUUAAUAAUAGAAACUAUUUACUAAUAAUUUUUUAGUUUAUAAAAUAGUAUCUAACUUAAUAAUAUAAUGACUAAUUAUUUUUUAUCUUUAAAUUAGUUGUUAUUUAAUUAUUUUUUUGUAGUGUAAAAUAUUAUUUAACUUAGUCUAAAACUAUGUUUAACCCUUGUUAGGACUAUGAAAUUUAUUAGAAUUGGUUUUCGAUGAGUUUUGAGCUUUAUGUAGAAAUUGUUGUUUUCUCCAUAUCUUAUUUGAGUCUUGAGAUUUUUCGACUCACACGAUAACUAUAAUAUUAAGUGCACAAUAUCAUUACUUGAGUAAGAGAGAAGAAAUAACAAUUCUCUUUUUCUCUUGAAAUUUAUCGCUCAAAUGAUGAUUGGUCGCUAAAGUGAUGAUCACUUUAGCAAUGGAGUUUUGGAGGUUUGACUAAGUUUUCAUUUACCUUUUUCUUAAGUUAGAGAAGGGUGUAUCAUUAAAGUGUUGUUUUAAAAUUCAAGUAAUGAGAAAUAUUGAUCAAGCAACAUAUUGUAGCUUGAGUGAGAAAGAUCUUGAUAAAUAAUUUUGCUUUAAUUUAGAUAGUACACAAAGCAUGGGUUAGACGCUUAAGUGAUAAAAACUCUUUCAAACCACAUUACACAACUUGAGUAGUGGUUCACAUUUAUUUUAUUUAUUUUUUAUUGUUGAUAAAAAAAAAUACAACUUGAGUGAAGAAACUUUGGUGACAUAUUUUCAUGUGUUUUUUUAUUAGUUACUUAGGCAACCUAUCUUCACUUAAGUUGAUUGAUUUAUACUGGAUUUGGAUUCAUAUAUAAAUUUUCACCUACCUUCAAAUUUUACCUACGAAUUAUUAUUACAGGUAAAAUUGAGUUACCUUGUCAAUGAAAAUGUCAUUGUAAGUUUUAUAGUUCAAUCAAGACUUAAACCGUCACUAUUAGUGUUUUAAUGACAAUUUAGCACAAAAUUAUCAUCCUAAAUGGACUCAAUAAUGAUGAAUAAUAAAGACAAAUCUGUCAAGAAAAUAAAAAAGAAAAAUUGAUGGAAUGCUAAUAAGUACGUUGACCACCAUAAAGUUUGAGGAGUCAAAUACUACUCAUAAACAAAUUGUAGCAAAACUUAAGAUAUUGGAAUUGACUAUGAAUGAAAAAAUCCUUAUAAAAUUUAUUUUAAACUUAUCAUUAUCUGAGUAUAGCUCAUUUCAAAUAACCUAUAAUACCAUACUAAAAAAUGGAAUGUAUCAAAUUGCACAACAACUUGGUUCAAGAAAGAACAAGGUUUAAAAAUUAGGAAAAGUAACUUAGUUUAUUAUGUAAGUCAUAAAAAAAGUUAAAGAACUAGAAAAAAAUUUAUGAGAAAACAUGAUAUAGGUAUGUUAAAGGUUAAUCAAACAUCUAAAAAUCUAAAAGACAAUAAUCGUCAUUUAUGUGAAAAACUUUCAUAUUUUGAGAAGGAUUACUGAAAACAUAAAGUUUUGGUUCAAAAGAAGGUAAAACUUAAUGUUUACCUAUACUAAUCAAAUUUAACUAAAGGAGGGAUUACUUAGUGUUUAAAUCAUAAGUUUAAAUAAAAUAUUCUUUAUAAAAAAAUAAAGUGAUGAAAACUCUAGUGGAAGCGGUCUGAUCUUAUCUUUUACAUAUUUUAAUUUUUUUAAUUUUAUUUUAUUAAUAUGAAAAGUGAAUAUAACAUAAUAUAUUACACACCAUGAGUUUAUUCUGUUACUUUAAAAUGUAUAAAAACAAACAUGAAACACAUAAACAAGCAAUUAGAAAUAACACUAAGGAAAUUAUCUCAGUUAAAGAAAUUCAUGAAAUAAAAACUAAUUUUAAGAACAAAAAAUAAUUAGUUCGUUAUAGUGAUUAAAUUAGAAACAUUUUAUAAAUUAAAAAAACUUUUGGUUUCUAAACUAGUUCCUAUCAUUAUUAAAUAGUUUUCUCUAAUUAACUACCAAAGUUUAAACUACCAAUUAUUUAGAUUUUAAAAUAUUCUUUAAUUUAGUCACUAUAACUCCCAAUUUUUUUUUUAUGUCUUACAACCAAAGUAUCCUAGGUAUAUGUGUUUGUUGAUUUUUUGGUGAAUUGUAUUUGUAGAGAUAAUGCAUGUAUAAGGGUUGGAACACUCCUAAAAUGUUUCAUUUAUUUUAUUUUAUAUAUUCACUGAUAAAAAAUAUUAAUUAUUUUUUAUCUUUAAAAUUGAUUUUUAUUUCAUAUGAUAAGAGACAGAUUCUUCUACUUGAUGAACUCCAUAACCUCUAAAAUGUUGACGUGACAUUCAUAUCUGAUGCCACUGAAUCCAGCUGCUCUUGCCAAUUCCAUGAACUCUUCUUCACAUCGCUCUUUACCUCCUGGGUUCUGAGUCAUCAUCGCAACAUCCAUUUGUGCAACCCCCUUAUAAGCAUUAUUAGUCUCUGGUAACUUUGGAAGAAUUGACUCCACAACUAUCACCUUUCCAUCAUCAGGAAUUGCAUCAUAGCAAUUCUUCAACAGCUUCACACAAUGUUCAUCACUCCAGUCAUGAAGUAUCCACUGUACAAUUACUUAAUGUCAAACCCCAUUGAAUAUAACUCAUGCAUCAGUUUGAACUAAACUCUUUUUUCAACCAACUAUUAUUCAUAUAUUUCCCUCCUCACUGACACUUUACCUUCAUAAAUAUGGCGUCUCCUUUAGGCACACUUUCAAACAUGUCUCCCUCAACGUGUUCCACUCCUGCAAAAUCUUAUUGUCUUGUAAAAUCUCAAAGUUGACCAAAUAAGUCUUCAAAAGACGAAAAGAACAUAUUUUUUUUUUAAAUUUAGAUUGGAACGUGUAAGGGUGAUACCAGGAUAGGAAGGAGCAUCUCGAAUGACAUGAGGCAAGUCGAAAUUGAUGCCAUGAAUAUCAGGGUAUUUAGAAGUGACCAAGUUAAUGUUGAUUCCAAGACCACCACCAACAUCCACCAGUGUUUUUAUGCCCUCAAAACCUUUGUAGGAUUCCACAACCUUCUUCAUCACCAAAGUGGUGUGAUUGAUCAUUGCUGUGUUGAAAGCCUUAUUGAAUCUUGAGUCCAAACGUGGAUAGUCAAAAGCAUGAGUGCCAUGAACCCUGUUGAAUGGAAUACCCCCCUCCCUAAUUGCAUCUUUCAGCUCACUCCUAAUAAUGUAUAAACAAACUUAUUUCACUUGAGCAAAUGAAGAAACAUUUACUUCCAAUCACAUAAUUUAGCAGAUCGCAUACAAUCAUAAUGCUGAAAUAGCAAACCCUGUUUUGACUCAAUCAUGUGGCUUUAUUCUUUUAUUUUAUCACAACACUUAUCACCCGCAUUAAAUUUGAACUAUUGUAUCCCUUUGAUUAGCAAGAGAGAGAAUGAAAGAUUGCAACAUCAAGGAGUCAAAACUGUGACCAACGACAAACAAAUUGCACACAGACCAUGACAAAGUUUGUAGAGAAUCAUCACUAGUUUUUUUGGUAUAAUUUAAGAGUGAAGUGUUGGAUUUCUUUAAGAUUUUACUUUAGAUCAAUUGAAGGUUUUGAUCCUUUAAAAAAAAUAAUAUAAUAGUUGAAAGAGAGUGAGUUGAACCAGCUUUGUAGGAAGAUUUUGUCUUGGACCAAGGCCAUCGCGGGCCACAACGAAACUCCAUCAGAAUUGGGAACAAAGAAUGCGGCGACGGGAGUCAUGGUGUAGAGCCGGUGAAAGGUGGGAGGAACACGGUGGUCGGAAGCGAGGGAAGAGUUAAGAAUGGAGUGAGAAGAAAGAAGUGCGAGGAGACGAUCUAGCAUUGAGGCUGCUUCUGGGUUACUGCAACUAAUCUUUGAUGCUAUUUCCUUAGCAGAAAGCUUAGCACCUUCUCCCGCUUCUUGCAGCACCUCAAACACUCCCAGCUCCGUCGCCGAUUGCACUGCCAUCGGAAGGACCACCGAACCUACAAUCUCCAUGGCUCGCGAGAAGCUUUCUGCAUCUUCUAUUUCUGAAUCUGGAAGGGUUGCCAUCUCCACUUGAACACCUGCAAAUCACUCACAACUUCCACACCUUAAACUAGUAUAUAUUUACACACUACUCUUCUUCUUUCCCUUACGAAGACAAGAAAGAGAAGAGAAGGGAAGAAAAAAGAAGAGGUCUAUAUAUAAAGGGAAAAAAUCUUAUCCUUAACCUUCCUUUUUCAGUGCUUUUUUUUAAGGUAUUUUUUUACAAAUUAAACAAUUUUCUUCUUUAAUUUUAUAGUUUUGAAUAGGCUGCUAUAUAUUAACACAUUCAACCCUAAAAACACACAUUUCCCGUUAUAAUAAGUUAAUAUUUUAUUUUAUUUUUUAAUUUAAUAAUAUUAUUAUAUUAUUAUAAACAGUGUCAAAUGUAAUUUUUUUUACUGUUUAUGUGUUCAUGCAAUAUUUUUCUCUUUUGAAUAAACAUAUUUCAAUGAUAAUAAAUAAUUUAAAAUUAAUUUCUCUGAAUUUAAAAUAAAUGAUACUUGUUUAGCUAAAGUAAAUAUAAUGUGUAUUUUUUAUAAUAAAAAUAAUUAUGAAUAAUUACUGCAAUAUUUAUUAUUUUAGUGAAACUAUCUAUGGUAACUCUCUUGUAAAACAAACAUGACUUACGAAUCAAUAUUGAUCAUCAUUUUUUAGCCAUGAUUUUUAAGCUACAUUUUUGUGAAAUGACUUUUAAAAAAAAUGCAUCACGGGAAAAGUAGUGUGACCUAAAAUAAUAAAAAUAUGGAAAUUUUUCUAUUUUGAAAAUAGAAGGAAAUUUUUUUAGAAAUGUAACUUACAAAUAUUAUACAUCAUGUGUCAUAAAAGGUGGAUAAUUUAAACCACAGAAUUUUUAAUGUGGCUUAUAAUAAUUAUCAAUAAACAAUAAAAAAAUUGUGAACUAAAAACCUCUAUCUUAUAGUUAAAAUCUUUAAAAUUAAAUCUAUGAUAUUUUUUUUUUUAUGUUUUUAAAUAUUAUACGGAGGUUUUGAAACUUAUGAUAUUGUAUGGAGAUUCUUAAACCCAUUAUAUUUAACCGAGGUUCUAAAAGAUGAAAUUAAAAAAUCCUUAAAGAACAUGUUUUUUUUAUGAAUGGUUUAGCGUGUAACUUUAGAUAAAUAACUUAAUAAAAAAUUUUACCUCGAAUAAUGUAAAAAGAAACCACUUUUUUUCUUAUAGUUUUUAUAUGUGUUUUCAUUAAUGAAUAUAUAUAUUUUCUUUAAUAAUAUAUUGUAAAUUUUUUGUUGAGUUAACUUUACAAUAUGUUAUAUAUAGGUUUCUUUUGAAUUAUUCAGAAGUUUAUAUUGAAAAGAAUGGAAUAAAAAUUUGAGAAGGAAGACCAUCAUGAUUCAUACAAUUAACUACUGUCUGAAAAUAAUUUUUAAAUAUGUUUUUUAAUUGAAACCCGAAAAAUUAUCAUAAGUUUUUGUGAUGUCAUAAAAGUAUAAAAAUGGAAUAUCUUUUCAAUCUAAUGUAAAAAUAAGGCAGAAUGUUAAUUAUAAUAUUGGAAAUGAUUUUUACUAUUUCUUCUGUAAUUGGCUAGAUUUUGUAUAAAUUGUCAAAAUACUCCUAAUUAAUCAAUUUAAGAAGUCUAAAAUUGAUUUUUAGUGAGAAUAUUUUGAUACUUUUUAUCUUUAAAAGUUGAAGUCAAGUUUAUCAGAAUGAUCAUGAGUACUUUGAUUAUUUUAUACAAAAUUAUAUAACUAUAGUAAAAAUUUUAUAAUUAUGUAAUAUUGUAGAUCAUAUUAUAAGUGUAAAAUAAAGUUCUGAAUAUUGUGCUUAUUGUUAUCACUGUAAAGUAAAGUAAUAAACUAAAUUACUGCUGUUCAAUUUGACCGUUCUGAAAAUAAAAUAUAUUACCCUUAUGAUCAAAUUGAUAAUACUGUUAGUGAUGAUUUGCAAAUUUUUAAAAAAAAAUCCUUUAACUCUUAUUUGUAAAGGAAUCCAUCCAUUAUUACCCUGUUAGGGAUAAUACUAUGAGUUAAAUCCACUAAAAAACGAUCAUUUACCUUCCACGGUGAUUUAACUUUCAUAUGUAUGUGUGAGUUCACAUUUAACUUUCAUAUGUAUGUGUGAGUUAAGUGUGAACGUGAUUUUUUUAGACCAAAUCCAUGCAAAAUUGAUGCAAAAGUAUAUUUUUUUGGAAAUCUGACGCAUAAUAGACGUAAAUAUAGAUUUAAAUAAAAAAUGGACUAUAAUUUAUAUUUAUUUAAUGUAUAAUAUGGUAAAAAAUAUUAUAAUUUUUACUUGUUUAUUGUAUUUAUUUUAAUUUUUUUAAUAAUUUUGGUAUAUGUUAGUUAAUAAAUUGAUUACGUGUUUAUUUUUAAAUUAUUUUAAAAAAAUAUCUUAAACAAUUUAAAAAGAAUUGAAAAAUGUUAAAAAAUAAUAAUUGAGUAAAAGAAAAAAUGUAAUUAAAUUUAUAAAUGUUAUACAAAAUACUUAAAUUUUUUAAAAAUUAAUUAUUUUAAUUUAAUUUCAUUUAUAAUAAGUAUUUAGAUAUAAAUUAGUUAAAUUAAAUUUAUUAAAUUGAUUAAUAGUUUAAUUUAAAAUUAUUUAAAGAAUUAUCCUAUAAAGUUUAUAAAGAAUUGAAAGAUGUAGAAAAAUAAUAAUUGGGUAAAAAAAUACAUAUUUAAAUUUUUAAAAUAUUAUGUAUUUAUUUUUUGUUGUAUAAAUUAAAUAUAUGUUUUGUUCUAUAAAUGAAAUUAAGUUUUUUUUUCUAUAAAUUAAAAUAAAUUUUUGUUGUAUAAAUUGAAUUUAAUUGUUUUGUAUAAAUUAAAGAAAGUUUUUCUUAUAAAUUAUAUCAUUUUUUUAUACAUUAAAUUUAUUUAUUUGUUAUAUAAAUUUAAAAUAAAAUAAAUUAAAUUUUUGAAAGUUUGAAUAUAAUUUUUAUUAAAUUAUAUUUAAGCUACAUACUUAUGAAAAUUUUCAAGUGCCUCACAUUAAUAAUAAUAAGUAUAAUAAAAAUCAUAAUAUUACAAAAGAAUUUGUCUGGUUUAGUGGUUAAAGCUUAUUUGGUCACGGAAAAAAAUAAAUAAUCACUUGACAACUUAACUUUUAAGAGUAAUGUGAUUAUUGAAUUUUUUUUUUAAUUAUAAGAAAAAAUGAAAAUAUGUUUUUAUUUAAUUUAACAAAACUUAUUUUCUAAUUAGUUAUUUUGACCAUUCAAUACCCAAGUUUUUUUUGUUUUAUUGAUGAAUGUUCUUUUUGAAAAUUCUACUAUAUCAAAAUUCAAGUCUUUUUUUCUACUAGAGUCACUACAAAAAUUUAUUAUUUUAAUAGAGAUUUAUUCGUGGAGGUUUUUAUAACAUCUGGUAAUGGACACUGUUAGUAGAGGUUUCUUAAAUCCCUGAUAAACAUCAAUAGUUUUUUAAUAAGUCAAAGUAAAAUAUUUCAAUUUUCUUCCUUUCUCCUAGAGAAACAAUGCUCUCUAACGUCAACCCUAGGUUAUUUCUCACAUUUUUUGUUUUCAUUUCCAACUUUCAAAAUCCAACAAGACCCCAUUCUCUUCUUUCACUCUCUAUUUCGUCUUCUAUUUUCAUCCUCAUCUAGCAAUCAUCUCUUUCUCUCGCAUUAUUUUCAUCAUCAUCUUCUAUUUGACUCUGGCUCAGAUUCACUUUUCCAAGCCUUCAGGAAGAGAGUGGCAAUGUUGUAUUCCAGGAAGAGCGAGUCAAUAUAUAACUUCUUCUAUUUCAUCAUUCCAAACUAUGUACACAUACGAAGAAACUAAUUUCAUAUUUUUCUGAUAGAAACUGAUUGAAGGAAGAUUUGGUGAUGUAAUGGAGGAAGUCGUGAGGACUCACCAAGCUAUCAAGUAAGACAGAAAUCUCUCACUUAAUUUUAACCUCUAACUUUGACUUGUCUGUUUACUUAACAUAUGUAAUCUUUAACAAAAAUAUUAACAAGAAAAUACGAUAGAGUAACGUGUAUAGAGUAACGUGUAUAGAGUGAUGCAAUAAUGUAUUAGAGUAUUGUAUCAGUAUUUCCAUUGCAUAUUAGAAUUUAGUUAAUGAAACCCAGUUUUAACAAUGAGAGAUGGAAUUUGUGAAGAAAUGGUGAAUGAGAUUUAUGAAAAAAAAAGGAAGAAAUUGAAAAUGCAUUGAGUUAGUUUGAAUCUGUUUUGAUAUUUGUAUUAAUGUGUGAAAUGAAAGUCUCUAUAUUCUAAUGGAAGAUGAAGAGCUCUUUCUGUGGCAAUCAUGCUCCUAUUCUUCAAUAUCAUAAUCAUUUCCGACAAAGUUAUUAGCUGUAGUGGAAUAGUUUGACUUGCCAAGAUUGAAGCUCAUGUGUGAAUCAAUAUUUUGUAGUGACAUAUCUAUAUAUUUUGUUCCAUAUAUUCUGGUUCUUGCAAAUCGUUAUCGUGCUAAUGAGUUGAAGUCCAUCUGUCAAAAAUUUUGUGUUGAAAACUAUGAUGGUGAGAGUUCCUACUUAACUACUCAAAUUGAGUUUUCAGUUUAGAAUGUUUUAGCCUGAAACAUGGUUUCUGCAUUAGUUGUUAAUGUUUGGAAGUUGAUUCUCAUAUUCUUUCAUCAUUGUCUGUUGCAGCUGUGAAGAAAUCUGGUGGUUUGGAGUAUCUCAGGCAAAGAGGUGAAAGUUCAAAGGUUCACAUUUCUAAUGCUGAUAACAACAACAAUAAUCCAUUAGGCAUUACUUUUAAGAUUUGGAAUGAUCAAGAAAAUUAGUUGAUUAUAAAGACUAUGUACUCUUGAUAAAAAAAAAGAUAAUGUAUUACUUAGAAGGUACCAUGUUUCUUCAUUAUAUUAUUUUGUUGGGUAGUUAGUUGUAUUAAAUAUUAAUUUAUGUUUUCCUAUUUAGCAAAAAUAAAUUGAAUAAACUUGUACUGGAUUUAAUACUUUUACUUUUUGAUGCGAAUUAAAUGAGUUUACAAUGUUUAUGAUAUUCUCAUUAUUAUAACUUUUAUGAAAUAAGUUUAUUAUAUUCUCUAUGAACGUAGAUCCAUGAAGGAACAAGAAAAAAAAUCAUAAUUAGAGGUAGGUACAAAACUUUUGUUCUGCACGGAAACAUUUUCCAAAAAUAUAUGGGAUUAUUAUGAGUCAAGUCUUGCACAAUUAUUUGAGGUUCAGAACAAACUCUACAAUGUAAGACUUGAUUAUUUUCAUUCAAAAAAUUAUCUUGAUGAUGAUAUAUAUAAGUGAUGAAGUACCACAUACUAAUUCAAAUCUAAAACACAAUCACGACCAACUAGAUUUAACUUAUGAUAUAAACAUAUAUAUAUAUAUAUAUAUGCCUCGGUUUCAUCAGUACUUCAUCUCAAAAUAAUAGAUUUUUUAUUAUAAUAUUACUCAUUAUAUGAAUAAUAAUAAUAAAAAGACAAAUUGAAGGGUUAUUUUAUUCAAAAAUUUUAUUAUUUGUCACAUAUUUUUUAUAUAUCCACCUCCUAGAAAUAAUAGGAGUUUUCAAACUGCCGGAAAUAGCGGGAGUUUUCAAAAUCGUCGGAAAUAGUGAGGUUUUCAAACAGUUGAAAAUAGCGGGGGUUUUCAAAACAGUCGGGAAUAACGAAGGUUUUCAAAACUGUUGGAAAUAGUAGGGGUUUUCAAAUUGUCGGGAAUAACAGUAAUCACUUAGCGACGUUGAAUCUUUCAUAGAAAAAGCAAACCGCGAGUAAUACACUUAACAUGGGUUAAAACUGCAAAAAAUAACCCAUUAAAAUUAAUUUAUUUUUGUAGUGAGUAUGUUUUUCUAUAAGAGUAUUUUAAGGGUAUAGUUUUGUCAAGAGUAAUUUUUGUUUGUAACAAGUAGAAUCAGUAUUAUAAAUAGUUUUUCUUUUCCAUUAUAAUCAAAGAUUUACCUUUUCAUAACUUCUGUAAUAAAUUUUCAUUAAAUAGUAAUGUAGAGUGCAAAAAUAAAAUUUUAUAUCUGAUUUAGAACAAUAUUAAAAAACCUUAUGAUAUUUGGUACAAUAUUCUGAAUAACAAAAAAAUAUUUUAUUUCUUAUAACAAAAAUUAUAAUUUCCUAUUCUAACAAAUUUAAAAACUAUUUUAAAUUAAAUUUUUUGAAUAUUUAAAAAAAUUAGAGAAAUUUGAAUUUGAAAAAAAAUAUAAAGAAUCCAAAUUUUACAAUUUUACCCUUUAAAUAACUAUUUUUUUUAAAAUUCAAAUAAUUCUUUCCAAUAAAAAAUAACCUACACAAUAAAAAAAAUUGCAUACAACAAACUUAAAAAAUUAAUUAUUUUUGUAAUAAUUUUUAAUAAAAAUAUUUUUAUAAUUUUAUUUCAAUAGUUAUUAUAAUAAUAAUUUUUUUAUAAAGAAAAAAAGUGUAGUUAUUCCUCUUUAAAAAAAUAUAUUUGUUUACUAUAUAAAAUAAAUAAUUUAUUUUUAUUUUAUUUUAAAAUAAUAAAUAAUUUUUCUUAAAAGUAAUUGAUAUAUAUGGAUAAUAAUUUCUACCUUAUAUAAAUAUUUUUAAAUAAAGAAUAAAAUAUAUUUUAAAUUCAUGUUUUUGUACAUAGUAAGAUUUAUAAUAAUAUUUUAAAUUUAUAUCACAUAUUAAUUAUAUAAUAUUUUAUAAUAAAAUAAAAUAAAAAUGCACUUAUAGGUCUGUGUUUUCAUUAGUUAGUAAUAAUAAUAAUAAAGAUAAAAGUAAUGUAUUUAUUCUAAAACAAUAUGCACAAAGUUUUUUCGGAUUCUGUAUAAAUGGUCAAAAAUUCACCUUUUUUUUCAUUAAAAGUGAUGCAUAUUACGAAAAUUUCAUUACUCCAAUCUCUUAUAGUCAAAUUGUUGGAAUGGAGUUCCAAUUUUGUCAUGGUUUGUUAGUGCUUUAUUAAUAUAAUUUUGGCAAAAAUUUGGUGUUUGAUACAAAACUUAAGAAUUAAAAAAUUACAAUCUUUUUCUAAAUUAAUUUAUGCACAAGAUAAUUUUAUAAUUUUGAAAAAUGUAUUUUUUAUUAUUUGAAAUAUUUAUAAAAUUUGUCCACUAUUUAAUACACGAAACAAUAAUAUUCUAGCUUUAUUUCUACGAAAAAUAAAUAUUAAAGUAUGCAAUCAAUCACUACCACCUUGAUUAAAAGUCGACUCAAUUUAUCAAAUAUCAUUAUUUACACUUUUAUUUCUCUCUCUAACAUUCUUUUGUUUUUAUUUCUUUAUCUAGCACCCUUUUAUUUUUAUUUUCCUACCUAUCACUAUUUCAAAAGUAAAAAAAUAAUAAUAAUUUUUUUUUUAAUUUUGAAUGGAUUAAAAAAAUAAAUAUUUUUAAUGUUUAAAAUAGUUAUUAAUGAAUAAAGAAAUGAGUUUCUAAAAAAUAAAAAUAAUAAAUAAUAAAUUAAAAAUGUUUAGUUUAAUUUUUUUUAAAUGAAGAAAAUGAAAAUUUAAGCCUACAACAACAUAAAAGUUGAAUAUAUAAACAUAAAUUAGUAUUUAUUUUUAUUAUUAUUUAUGAUGUAAUCAUGUUAAUUUCAAGUAAAAAAUAUAGGAUAUAAUUAUAAAAAAAAUCAAAAUCAAAAUCAAUUAAUAUUAAUUUGUAGUGGACACAUAGAUAAUAUUAUAGUGUCUACUCAUUUUUAAGCAUUAAGUAUAACAUUUGCAUUAAUUUUUUUUUUAGGAUUUUGCAUUUAGGGUAGACACUUCAAUAUUAUAUGGGUGUCAACUACUAAUUAAUACUAAUUUACUUUGUUUUUUUUUAUAAUUAUGUCCUGUAUUUUUUACUUGAAAUUAACAUGAUUACAUCAUCAAUAAUAAUAAAUAAAUACAAAUAUUCAUUUGUGUUUAUAGAUUCAACUUGUAUGUUGGUGUAGGGUUUAAUUUUUUAUUUUCUUCAUUCUUAAAAAAUAUUUAAACUAAACGUUUUUAAUUUAUUAUUAUUUUUUUGUAAAAAAUAUUUCUUUAUUCAUUAAUUAUAUUUCUAACUAUUUUAAACAUUAAAAAUAUUUAUUUUUUUAAUUUAUUCAAAAUUAAAAUUAUCAAUUUUUUUAAUUUUUUAAUUUAUUUUUUUACUUUUGAAAUAGUGUUAGAUAGGGAAAUAAAAACAAAAGGGUGCUAGAUAAGGAAAUAAAAACAAAAGGGUGUUAGAUGGGAAAAUAAAAAUGUAAAUAGUGUUAUAUGAGGAAUUGAGUCUCAAAAGUCUUCUCAUAAUUUAAAUUUAAAUUUGAUUUCUUUAAGCUAACUCCUUUAUGAAAUUUGUAUUAUUUUAAUAAUAUACACUACAAGAAAAUCAUCAAAUAGAAAUCAAUUUUAGAGUAAAAAAUAAUUAGUUGCUAUAGUGACUAAAUUAAAUAUCACUUUAGAGACUAAAAUAUUUUUUAGUUUCUAAAUUGGUAUCUAAUUAAUAUCAAGGUUUUAAUGACCGAACUGUUUUGUUCAGGUUCGUUAUUAUACUGAGUUAAAAACUUUGGUUAGGUGCCGACCAAACUGCUCAGGAGAUAAGGGAAUAUUUCAAUCACAAAUCCUACAAUAUUUGUUAAAGAAGUAGUAGAACACCAUUUAUCAUUUCAAAAAUUAAUAAAAGUACAUGUACCAAUAGUCUAAGAAAUAUAAUCAAGUAUAUGAGAAUAAAAUUGUAUAAUUCCAGGCCAAAGAUAUGAGGAUCUAUAAACCAUUCUAAACUCAUAUUUUGAUUUAAGAACCCUGACUUUCAGGAGAAAAGACAAAGGUCUGUUACUAUAAACAAAGUUCCAAGCAAGCUUAAGAAGAUAUAUAUUAUUUUCACGAUGAAGGUUAAUAAUCUUCAAACCUCAUUCUAAAAAGGAAAACAAAUCGUAACCCAAUUAGUGGUAGAUAUGCAUUUUUUCAAAAUAUCACCAAUCGAAAUAAAAUUUCGACACCCUUCUCAACUUGCUUAAAAAGUGAAACAUAUAUACCAUUUGUACACAUUAAAUAUAUAAACUAGAAAUUCAAUAAUCACCAUAUUAACCAACUAAAUCAACCCAUCAUGCUAAGAAAUAAGUUGUUCAAUUCCUUAUUCAGAAGGUAUUUGAACUUAUAUUAUUAGCUUCAUCAUUUAAAAAAAAAGUUCAUCUCAAAUAGUUUAACUCUAGAUUAAUUUUUUUAUAUUAUUUGAUUUUAUUAUUCCAUACGUAUAGAUUUGAAGAAUCUUUAACUUUUUGUAACUGUUAUUUGGAUAUUUAGUAACUUUCACAUAAAAACUUUUCAAAAUUGAAAUUGAUUUCUAAACUGUAUGAGUCUUAUUGUUUUAAAUUGGUGGCUUGAGUAUUGAAAUUAAAGAAAUAGACAUUGAGGUUUAGGGUUUUUUUGAAAUUGAUAAGAGUAUGUGAAGGUCAACUUGAGUAAUAUUAGUUAUUUUGAGCUUUAUGUUUUUUUUAUCAGCAAAUAGUAAUGAAAUUAAAUGAGACAAAUUCAGGGGUGGUCCAACCCUUAUACAGCAAAAUGAUGCUCACAAAGUACCUUUCCAUCUACAUAUCAACCAAAAAAAUAACAAAGAUCAACCAAUAUAAAAAACUAAAUUGAAUGCAUACAUACCAAGGGUUCUAGACACCAAUCAGAGAAUGAAAAAUUAGCUGACGGUAUUUUUGAAGAGAUCUAGGACCAAACCUUAAUCUGUGUCAGAGAGAACACUUCAGUAUGAUCAACCACUCCACCUUUAAAUAAACAGUUAUUCUUGUGCCUCCAUAUCUCGCUAACCAACGCAAUCCACAAGUUGCCCAUAAUAAGAUUAACUGAAGUGGGUGCAUCCAGAAUCUUGAAAUGUUCAAAAUGAGACCCAAGAUCCAUAAAAUCGACUGAUCUUAGUCCUAACCAGUCAUAACAAAGAUUCCAAAUUAGCCAAGCAACUCUACAUUCGCCGAACAAAUGAUUUGUUGACUCCUCUGACCUCCUACACAAGCAACACAAAUUACUCUCGACCUCGAUUCCUCUUCUCUUCAGAUUAACCCUACAAGCAACCUUGUUUUCAAUCACUCUCCAAGAUGUGACUUGAGCUGAGGGAAGCGCCCUAAUUUUCCAGAAAAAAUUAUAACUUCUUGAGUCUUCCUCACUUCCUUCUCCCCUUUAAAAACCAUAAGCGAACUUAACUGAAAGCUCUAUUGAAUCACUAUCCUUCCAAACACAUCUAUCCAUUGUUUCCAUCUCGAGCAUCUUAGUAGAGAUCAUCUCUAAGAAUUGACUUUCUUGCUCCUCUUCCCAAGCGAACAUACCCCUUCUCCACCUUAAGUUCCACUCCCAAGUCCUGUUCCCCCAUAUACCACAAUCACAUAAAUUUGCCUCCUUAUUAACAAACAAAGAAAAUAAUCUUGGAAAUCCAAUCUUCAAGGCUUCUGAGUCUAUCCAAUUGUCUGACCAAAACAUAACCUCUCUCCCGUUUCCGACCUCCAAAUUCAAACGAUCUUCAAACUUCCUUCCCCAUUCCUCAAACCUUCCUUAAAUCUCUCCACCACAUAAAGACCUUACUAUUAUUACCUCGCUGCUCCUUCAAACCUCUCUAUCCUCCAUACUUAGAUUCCAAUACCUCCCUCCACAACCCCUGUUUCCGUUUUCAAACGCCAAAUCCAUUUUUCCAUUAGAGCCAAAUUAAACUGCCUGACAUUCAUAAUACCAAGCCCUCCUUCUUCCUUGGAUUUACAAACCUUAUCCCAUGCCACCCAGACAAUCUUCCUUCCAUCUAACCCCCAUCCCCACAAAACAUUCAUCUGCAGGCUCACAAUCUUCUUUAAAACAAUAGGCAAAAUCUUGAAUAGAGAAAGAUAAAACAAAGGUAUUGACGACAAGACCGACUUAAUUAAGCAUAUCCUCCCCGCCAUCGAGAUAAAUCUUUCUUUACCCUGUUAACCACUUCAUCCCAUAACUCACCCCUCUUAUGACACCCCCCUACAGGCAUCCCCAAAUACUUAAAAGGAAUUCUCAUCAUCUCACAAUUUAGAAUUGUCGCAAAGUGGAGAAUCUCCGACUGCUCCAUCCCAAUCCCACCAAGUUUACUCUUAGAAAAAUUCACCUUAAGACCAUAUACCAAUUCAAAAUAGUUCAACGUUACCUUUAUAUUAAAAACACUUUUGCUAUUUGCCUUACAAUACAACAAUGUAUAUAUUGUUAUUGUUCUAUAAUUAAAUUUUAGCGUAAAGAUUGUUAGAGUGAUGCUUAAGCAAACUUUAACCUUAAGUGAAAAGUAUUAUUAUUUAAGUAAGAGAGACAAUAAUAAUAAUCUCUUCUCUUGAAAUUCAUUACUCAAAUAAUGAUUAAUUACUCAGUUUGAAUGUAAAAAUUAAGUGAAAAAUAUUAUUGUUUAAGAAAAAGAGACAAGAGAAAAAUCUUCAUAACAAACUUUAUUUUAAUCUUAAGCCACAUCACACAACUUUAUCACAGGCUUAAUAUUGACUUAUUUUUCAUGAAAAGUGUAUAUAACAUAAUAUAUUAGAAUGCAUAAAAGCAAACAUGAAACACAUAAACAAGCAAUUAGAAAUAACGUAUGAUGUGGUCUACUUGAAGAACUCCAUAACCCAGAAAAUGUUGACACGACAUUCAUAUCUGAUGCCACUAAAUCCAGCUGCUCUUGCCAGUUUCAUGAACUCUUCUUCAGAUCGUUCUUUACCUCCCGGGUUCUGAGUCAUCAUCGCAACAUCCAUUUGUGCAACCGUCUUAUAAACAUCAUUAUUCUCUGGUAUCUGUGGAAGAAUUGCCUCCACAACUAUCACCUUUCCAUCAUCAGGAAUUGCAUCAUAGCAAUUCUUCAACAGCUUCACACAAUGUUCAUCACUCCAAUCAUGAAGUAUCCACUGUACAAUUACUUAAUGUCAAACCGCAUUGAAUGAAGUUGGUAUAAGUCAUGCAUCAGUUUGAAUUAAACUCUUUUUUCAACCAACUAUUAUUCAUAUUCAAGACAAGAAACAUGUUCAUACUUUGUAUUAAAUACAUAAAAAAAAACCAAAUAAUGUUUGAAUAUUAAUGUUUAGAAAUUUAAACUAAUAAAGUCAAACAAAGGGGUUAGAGUUAUGAUAUUUUGACAUGGUCAAAACAAUAUUAAAUGCACAUGCUUAUUAAUUUAAUAAAUUAAUAUUUUAAUUAUAUUGAUUUUAUAUUUUAAUUUAAAAUAUUAUCAUAUUAUUAUAAGGUGUUAUGAAGUGAAUCUGUUUAGAGUUUCAAACCAUAUUUUUCCAAUUAAAUAGUAGUAUAUUUCCCAGACCGAGACUUACCUUCAUAAAUAUGGCGUCUCCUUUAGGCACAUUUUCAAACAUGUCUCCCUCAACGUGUUCCACUCCUGCAAUAUUAGAAAGUAAAUAGUACACACUAUUUAUGUUAUUGUCUUGUAAAAACUCAAAGUUGACCUUCAAAAGACGAAAAAACAACAUUUUUUUUUUAAAUUUUGCAGAACCACAGGAUUGGAAUGUGUAAGGAUGAUACCAGGAUAGGAAGGAGCAUCUCGAAUGACAUGAGGCAAGUCGAAAUUGAUGCCAUGGAUAUUAGGGUAUUUGGAAGUGAUCAAGUUAAUGUUUAUUCCAAGACCACCACCAACAUCCACCACUCUUUUUAUGCCCUCAAAACCUUCGUAGGACUCCAGAACCUUCUUCAUCACCAAAGGGGUGUUGAUCAUUGCUGUGUUGAAAACUUUAUUGAACCUUGAAUCCAAACGUGCAUACUCAAAAGCAUGAGUGCCAUGAACCCUGUUGAAUGGAACACCCCCCUCCCUAAUUGCAUCUUUCAGCUCACUCCUAUAAUAAUAUAUAAACAAAUUACUAGUACCAUACAGAAAUACAUGAAAUCUUUAAAAAUAUAAGAUACGGAAACAUAAAUCUAUAUCUAUAACUAUAUAUAAAGAUGAUUUUUCAUUAUAACCAUUUUUUGGUAUACACAAUUUUUUUAUGAUUCUAUCCUUAUUCAAUAUAUCUCAUCUUAUUAGUAUUUUAUCAUUUCAUAUAAAUUAUUAAAAAAAUAAAAUUAUUUAUUAAUUUGUUAAAUUAAUGUUAUGUGACAGUCUUUAUAUGUAAACUAACUUCUCACUCUUCCUUUACUUUCCUAUUAGGCAACAACAAAAAUAAAGGUGCUCUCACCCUCACUCCUCUAUUAAUUCCCACACCAAAUCUAGCAACAACAGAAAUAAAGAGAUCAUACUCUCACCCUCACUCUUCCAUUCUCACACCAAAUCUAACGUAUACAACAAAAUAACAUACAUUUAUUUUCAAUCACUCUCUCGAGUUCAUUUCAAACAACUCUAUUCUUUGGUAAAACCAUCAUUCUUUUUUAUCUACCAUCAAGUGAAUCUUAACAUUAACAUGAACAUCAUCACACUCUCCGAUUCCAAAACCACCCAUGGAAGAAAAUAAAAAACUUGAAGGAGAGAACUCAAACCAUAGGAGAAACAAAAUGUUGAUUAAUCAAUUUAUCAUUUAUUUUUUACAUAUUAUUUUUUGUUUUUCAAUUUUGACUCAUCCAAAAUUAUUGUUGUAUGUAUGUUAAAUUUUUAUCAUCAUAUAAGUUAAACAGAAGAAGGAAUGCGGAUACACAUACACUACAAUGCCUCUGAUUUCGCUAGUAUUAUAUAAUUUGACAAUAAAUACUUAUGUGCACAAGUAUCACUUAUUUUUAGUAAAAAUAUGUUUCUCAUUACUAGUUAAAAAGGAUUUGUUCCUUAUUUUUAUAACUAUAAUAAAAAUUUAUAUAAUAAAUUUGAGUUUUUAAAAAUUUAAUGUAUUUUUUUUUUUUAAGAUUGUAUUAGAACCAUACUAGAAUUGUCAGAAAUCCAACAAAUAUUUUUUGAAUUGAACACUUCACAUAUACAUAUUCUACAAACAUAUUCUACAAGUGUCAUAUACAUAUUCUACAAGUGUCGAUAUGUAAUACAUGUAUCGAUAUGCAUACCAUUUAAGAUACUUGUCCUAAACUCUUAGCACGUUAGAUAUACGAAUAUGUUUGUGAUGGAAAAGAACAUAAAAUGAUAAUAAUAGUUGAGAGAGAGAGAGUUUAACCAGCUGUGUAGAGAGAUUUUGUCUUGGAUCAAGGCCAUCACGGGCCCCAACGAAACUCCAUCAGAAUUGGGAACAAAGAAUGCGGCGACGGGAGUCAUGGUGUAGAGCCUGUGAAAGGUGGGAGGGACACGGUGGUCGGAAACGAGGGAAGAGUGAAGAAUGGAGUGAGAAGAAAGAAGUGCGAGGAGACGAUCUAGCAUUGAGGCUGCUUGUGGGUUACUGCAACUAAUCUUUGAUGCUAUUUCCUUAGCAGACAGCUUAGCACCUUCUCCCGCUUCUUUCAGCACCUCAAACACUCCCAGCUCCGUCGCUGAUUGCACU